GGCUCCUUCCUCAGCGGCUCAGAGCGGCUCCCGCCCGCAGUGCGGCGGCUCUUCACUUCCUGCAUGCAGGCGUGACCAGAGCUGCUGAUCCGCCUUUAUACCGCAAUUGUUUCAGCGACUAAGGGUCCAGAUAAGAAGACAAAGAUCUUCCCGGUUCACUGACACAUCACAGAUGGCGGGAAAACUUAAAACCGGAGAAAUGAAAGAUAUCUUACGGCGAUUUAAUGAUAUAAACUCCUCGCUUGAUUGCAGCGUUUCGAAGCUUGUCCAGUCCCAGACGGAGCUGAGCAAAGCAGUUGAGACCCAAAAAUGCCUCAAUAAGAGUCUAAAACCGCUGUAUGCUGCCUUUUCACCACAUGAAGACCCGAAUUCCAUCAAUCAGCAUUAAGUAAAAUGUUCAUUUUGUUAACCUUCUUUCAGUAUAUCUGUUAAUAUCAUGCAUUACAAUUUAUCAUAUUGUACAUUCUGAUAUAUAAUUUUGAUAUAAACAUGGAUUUGGUAAAAAAUGUACUGAUACUCCUACACCAUGUGAUGGACCGGAAUCCCAUCCAACGUAAGCCCCGGGACACCAGGAUAACCGUUUGGAAGAUGGGUGAAUUGUUCUCAUUUUUGGAAUGUGUGUUGUCUGUUGUGAUCUUUACAACAACACAUGUGAUCAUUUUUGCAGUAUUGAAUGAGUGAGCACUGCAGAUGCCAAUGAGCUUUACAUUCCACAAAGAUGCCUAUAGCAUUAUUACUCCCAAUAUCGUAUACAUUCACCUUGCAUACCUGAAGGAUGUUCUAUUCUUAAUGACAUUUAUAAUUUCAAAGCAUUUUGAAUUAUCCCUGACCCACAGUAUGAUGUCAGAUCUACAAUACUGUAUUCAUGCAAGAAUUUAACUUCUCUACAUUUAUUCCAUUUAAUGACUCAUUUCCUAGUGCAGACUGCCUCCUAUUGGACUAAAAUAUGAAUUGCUAUAUACAAACCCAGUUACAGACUAAUCUCAUGCUGCUUAAAAUUUGUCUGACUUGUAAUUUCUUUUGUCAGCCCAGCUAUAAAUGACAGCCCAGCUGAUUUUUUUUGUUAGAUAAAGUCAGGUUGGUGUGUGGCUUAGUCCUCUGUGCCCUUAACUGAAAGGCUACCAAUUAAAAUUCCAUAGCUGGUA
Molecule: long non-coding RNA, 1145 nt
Organism: Brienomyrus brachyistius
Lineage: Eukaryota; Metazoa; Chordata; Actinopteri; Osteoglossiformes; Mormyridae
Exons: 4
Source: RefSeq, a predicted model, not a curated record